RNAcentral lists this ribosomal RNA (227 nucleotides) under uncultured bacterium. Its description in RNAcentral is "partial 16S ribosomal RNA". It matches the Rfam family "Bacterial small subunit ribosomal RNA", at positions 109 to 334 of the family's 1533-position model. The record is from RNAcentral.
AGUAACGCGUGAGGAACCUGCCUCAAAGAGGGGGACAACAGUUGGAAACGACUGCUAAUACCGCAUAAGCCCACGGCUCGGCAUCGAGCAGAGGGAAAAGGAGCAAUCCGCUUUGAGAUGGCCUCGCGUCCGAUUAGCUAGCUGGUGAGGUAACGGCCCACCAAGGCGACGAUCGGUAGCCGGACUGAGAGGUUGAACGGCCACAUUGGGACUGAGACACGGCCCAG